UUUCCGUAGGUGAACCUGCGGAAGGAUCAUUAUUGUAUAACCGAGGUGCGAGGGCUGUCGCUGACCCGAAAGGUCGUGCACGCCCGAGUGUCCGCACACACAUCCAUCUCACCCCUAUGUGCACCACCGCGUGGGUCCCCCUUUGGCUUGUUCGGAGGGGGGCUUACGUUUUCACACAAACUUUGUAUGCAGUGUAGAAUGUAUUUUUUGUUUUUGCGAUCACGCAAUCAAUACAACUUUCAACAACGGAUCUCUUGGCUCUC
RNAcentral lists this unclassified non-coding RNA (263 nucleotides) under plant metagenome. RNAcentral's name for it is "partial contains small subunit ribosomal RNA, internal transcribed spacer 1, and 5.8S ribosomal RNA". The record is from RNAcentral.